AACGAACGCUGGCGGCAUGCCUAACACAUGCAAGUCGAACGAGACCUUCGGGUCUAGUGGCGCACGGGUGCGUAACGCGUGGGAACCUGCCCUUAGGUUCGGAAUAACUCCCCGAAAGGGGUGCUAAUACCGGAUCAUGUCUUCUGACCAAAGAUUUAUCGCCUUUGGAUGGGCCCGCGUUGGAUUAGCUAGUUGGUAGGGUAAAAGCCUACCAAGGCGACGAUCCAUAGCUGGUCUGAGAGGAUGAUCAGCCACACUGGGACUGAGACACGGCCCAGACUCCUACGGGAGGCAGCAGUGGGGAAUAUUGGACAAUGGGCGAAAGCCUGCUCCAGCAAUGCCGCGUGAGUGAUGAAGGCCUUAGGGUUGUAAAGCUCUUUUACCCGGGAUGAUAAUGACAGUACCGGGAGAAUAAGCUCCGGCUAACUCCGUG
This 433-nucleotide ribosomal RNA is filed under the name uncultured bacterium. RNAcentral describes it as "partial 16S ribosomal RNA". It matches the Rfam family "Bacterial small subunit ribosomal RNA", at positions 29 to 507 of the family's 1533-position model. The record is from RNAcentral.